GUGCCAGCCGCCGCGGUAAUACAGAGGGUGCGAGCGUUGUCCGGAAUCACUGGGCGUAAAGGGCGCGUAGGCGGCCGGGUAAGUAGGAGGUGAAAUCUCACAGCUCAACUGUGAGGAUGCCUUCUAGACUGCUUGGCUUGAGCACGGUAGAGGCUGGUGGAAUUCCCGGUGUAGUGGUGAAAUGCGUAGAUAUCGGGAGGAACACCAGUGGCGAAGGCGGCUUCCUGGCCUGUUCUUGACGCUGAGGCGCGAAAGCUAGGGGAGCAAACGGGAUUAGAUACCCCGGUAGUCC
RNAcentral lists this ribosomal RNA (292 nucleotides) under uncultured bacterium. RNAcentral's name for it is "partial 16S ribosomal RNA". It matches the Rfam family "Bacterial small subunit ribosomal RNA", at positions 505 to 796 of the family's 1533-position model. The record is from RNAcentral.